CUAAAAAUCUAGCCCUUCCCCCACUCCCCACCCAUAAUCAAAACCCAAAACAAAAUAUUUUAUCUGUUUAGUAAAGAAGAUUAAAAAACUUUUAAGAGCUUUAUUCUAGUACCGCAAGGGAAAAAUGAAAUAAAAUGAAAAUCUUAAAGCAUAAAAUAGUAGAGACUUAACCUCGUACCUUUUGCAUCAUGGUUUAGCUAGUCUAACCAGGCAAAAUGAACCUUUUAAGUCUGACUUCCCGAAACUAAGUGAGCUAUUUUAGGGCCGCUAAACGAGCCAACCCUUCUAUGUUGCAAAAUAGUGGGAAGACCCUAAAAUAGAGGUGAUAAGCCUAACGAACUUGGUUAUAGCUGGUUUCUCAAAAAAAGAAUUUUAGUCCAACCUAAAGCAAUGUAAAUUCAAAUAAAUUUCACCCAUCCUUUAGAGCAAUUCAAAUAAGGUACAGCCUAUUUGAUACAGGAUUCAACCUUCACCCACGGGUAAUAUUUUAUUAUAUUUACAAGUAGGCCUAAUAGCNGCCACCUUUUAAAAAGCGUCAAAGCUUUACCACUUUAAAUCUAACUCCCCAUAUACGCCCCUNAAAGCCAACUGAGAACUUCUAUAAACUUAUAGAAAUUUUUAUGCUAAAACCAGUAACAAGAGUUUAAUAUCCUCUCUUUAAUGUCCACAUAUGUCGGAAAAANUCCAUCUGACAAUUAACAAACAUAAAUNNCAGUAGUAACUUUUACCAGGAAAAUCCUACUAUUAUAAUUGUUAACCUAACACAAGCACAUUUCAAGAAAGACUAAAAGAAAGAGAAGGAACUCGGCAAACAUUAAUCCCGCCUGUUUACCAAAAACAUCGCCUCUUGAACCCAUAAGAGGUCCCGCCUGCCCAGUGACUCUGUUCAACGGCCACGGUAUUCUAACCGCGCAAAGGUAGCGUAAUCACUUGUUUUCUAAAUAAAGACUAGUAUGAAAGGCAUCACGAGGAUUAAACUGUCUCCUCUCCCUAUUCAGUGAACCUAUUCUCCCCGUGAAGAAACGGGGAUGUAAAAAUAAGACGAGAAGACCCUAUGGAGCUUUAAACAUCAUAACACCUGCUUUAAUUCCCUCACCAAGGUUACCCACCACAGCACAGUGAUUACAUGUUUUUGGUUGGGGUGACCGCAGAGUAAAAACAACCCUCCACGAUGAAAGCUUCCCUAAACAAUAAGCCACAACUUUAUGUAUUAACAAAUUAACAUUCAUUGACCCAAUUUAUUGAUUAACGAACCAAGUUACCCUAGGGAUAACAGCGCAAUCCACUUCGAGAGCCCAUAUCGACAAGUGGGCUUACGACCUCGAUGUUGGAUCGGGAUACCCAAGUGGUGCAGCCGCUACUAAAGGUUCGUUUGUUCAACGAUUAAAACCCCACGUGAUCUGAGUUCAGACCGGAGUAAUCCAGGUCAGUUUCUAUCUAUUAUAUAGCUUCUUUUAGUACGAAAGGACCCAAAAAGCAUGGUCAAUACCCAAAGCAAACCAUAAUUCUUAAUUUUAGACCUCAACUCAAAAAAUUAUUAACUUAUUCUCCCCAUCAAGAAAAGAAUA
Molecule: ribosomal RNA, 1568 nt
Filed under: Pristimantis lancinii (Lancini's robber frog)
Lineage: Eukaryota; Metazoa; Chordata; Amphibia; Anura; Strabomantidae
Description: 16S ribosomal RNA
Rfam family: Bacterial large subunit ribosomal RNA
Source: RNAcentral